AUCCUUUGUAGUUCACAAGCAUGAUAAUUGGGUUUUCACAUGCAUGUGUAAGAUAUGCCUCCUUCAAACCUUUCACAAUGUCAACAUAUUACCCAUCUGAUG
Small nucleolar RNA from Lemur catta (Ring-tailed lemur), 102 nucleotides. RefSeq annotates it as small nucleolar RNA U13. The record is from RefSeq and is a predicted model, not a curated record. The transcript has a single exon. NCBI's taxonomy places the organism in Eukaryota, Metazoa, Chordata, Mammalia, Primates, Lemuridae.